AUAAUUGCUUGCAGAUCUUGGUCUACCAUUACUGUUGUUAUUCUGUUUUCCGAUUAAACUUCUGAAGCAGAGAAAAUAGGCGGAAAGGUACUUGAAGAUAAUAGUUUGGCUUUUGGUGACAUCGUCUUGACUUUGUAUAUGUCCUUAACGUGCACAGCCUAGAGAAGUGGAGCAUUGCUGGCUUAGGGACCUGGUCUCCUCGUUGCAAGAAUUUCUGAGGCUCUUCUGGAAUCAGGUGGGAGCCAAACUGAGGGUGYGUUAUUCCUUAAAACAAGCAUGGGAACUUUUAAGGAGGCACCACGGAAGGCCUGAUCCAGUUCUUGAGGAAAACAAUGGGAGUCUGAUUGGAGCCAUAGAAAGUCAUGAAGGGAAUUUCAAGGGAUAAAAGUGUGGAGCCAGACAUUCAAAAACAGCUUUUUAAAUAUGUGUUGCUGACCUUUCUUAUGGCUUGCAAAUGCAGUCUGAUUGCCCAAAGUGAGGUUAUUUUAGGGGGAAGGCACRAAAUUUGGACCAGAUACACUAAUGCUCAGAAAGAACCAGUGGACUUGCUUGGGAGCACAAGAGUGUGAGCUGGGCCAUGGAGAGCAGCUUGGAUUCAGCUCUCACCUCUGCCUGGGUUUCUCCUUGUUCAUGUGAUCAAACAUAGAGUGUGAUAAGAAGGGGCCAGACUGGAGAGCAGAUCCACCACUUACYCCUGCAAGGUAGUUUGGAAACUGAACUGAACAAAGGAAAGCAGUGACUCAGGUGUUGGGCUGAGUGGUCUGAAUGUAAGCUCUUAUUGCUGUGAUGGUCUUAGCGAGAAGACUCUGACCCAAGAAGAAGGAAAGAAAUCAACAUACUGGUUUUCAUUCAUGCUCAGAGAAGAAAUCUUCACUAAAUUUGACCGAACUGACCAGCCAGUCAGGCCCAGGGACAUAGGAUAAUCAGUGAGGUCAGUAUCUCUUAAGAUUUGAUGGCAAGGAUGUGGUCAUGUUGAAGAGACCUUGUACUGUAACAGAGACCGGAGGAAAGCCCUUUCAUCAGAAAACCUGCAAACAGGAGGGAGUCAACAGCUUAAGAUCUCUCUUUUGGUCCCAUACACAAGAAUCAAGAGCCUGCUGUGGUUGCUAUUUCAGCUGUUCAUUAAAGUUAUAUUGCUUCCUUUAUCUCUUGUGCUCAUGGAAUACAAGCACCUCCAUAAUGAGCUUAAAUUACCACGAGCUAAGAAUAGAAAACUCGAUUUCAGUUCUUGGGAGGCUGAGGCUGUGGUGGUGCAUGGGUAAUCAAGCAAUAUUAGCUGUAUAAUGGUGCUAGGAUCCCAGGGCAGGGCUGCUGGAAUGUUUAUGGCAGGAGAGCACAGUAAAUAUCCGAUUUCUGGGCUUUCUGGGUUUCUUCUUUUUCUCUCCUCUCCUGCUUCCUUAUACAUUUUGAAAUAAACACUGGCGUUCACUCUCUAUAUUAAUAUCC
Long non-coding RNA from Apteryx rowi (Okarito brown kiwi), 1446 nucleotides. NCBI's taxonomy places the organism in Eukaryota, Metazoa, Chordata, Aves, Apterygiformes, Apterygidae. The record is from Ensembl.